This 253-nucleotide ribosomal RNA is filed under the name uncultured bacterium. RNAcentral's name for it is "partial 16S ribosomal RNA". It matches the Rfam family "Bacterial small subunit ribosomal RNA", at positions 524 to 776 of the family's 1533-position model. The record is from RNAcentral.
UACGUAGGGGGCGAGCGUUGUCCGGAUUUAUUGGGCGUAAAGAGCGUGUAGGCGGCCAGGCAGGUCUGUUGUGAAAACUGGAGGCUCAACUUCCAGACGUCGACAGAAACCGCUUGGCUAGAGUCCGGAAGAGGAGAGUGGAAUUCCUGGUGUAGCGGUGAAAUGCGCAGAUAUCAGGAAGAACACCGAUGGCGAAGGCAGCUCUCUGGGACGGUACUGACGCUGAGACGCGAAAGCGUGGGGAGCGAACAGG